UGGGGAAUUUUGCACAAUGGGGGAAACCCUGAUGCAGCGACGCCGCGUGAUUUAGAAGGCCUUCGGGUUGUAAAAAUCUUUUCUAUGGGAAGAAAAUGACAGUACCAUAGGAAUAAGGACCGGCUAAUUACGUGCCAGCAGCCGCGGUAAUACGUAAGGUCCGAGCGUUGUCCGGAAUCAUUGGGCGUAAAGGGUACGUAGGCGGGUAAGCAAGUUAGAAGUGAAAUCCUAUAGCUCAACUAUAGUAAGCUUUUAAAACUGCUCAUCUUGAGGGAUGGAAGGGAAAGUGGAAUUCCUAGUGUAGCGGUGAAAUGCGCAGAUAUUAGGAGGAAUACCGGUGGCGAAGGCGACUUUCUGGCCAUAACCUGACGCUGAGGUACGAAAGCGUGGGUAGCAAACAGG
This 402-nucleotide ribosomal RNA is filed under the name bacterium. RNAcentral describes it as "partial 16S ribosomal RNA". It matches the Rfam family "Bacterial small subunit ribosomal RNA", at positions 355 to 776 of the family's 1533-position model. The record is from RNAcentral.